This 329-nucleotide unclassified non-coding RNA is filed under the name soil metagenome. RNAcentral describes it as "partial contains 5.8S ribosomal RNA, internal transcribed spacer 2, and large subunit ribosomal RNA". The stretch from base 1 to 120 matches the Rfam family "5.8S ribosomal RNA", at positions 35 to 154 of the family's 154-position model. The record is from RNAcentral.
GAUGAAGAACGUAGCGAAAUGCGAUAAGUAAUGUGAAUUGCAGAAUUCAGUGAAUCAUCGAAUCUUUGAACGCACAUUGCGCCCCUUGGUAUUCCGGGGGGCAUGCCUGAUCGAGCGUCAUUACAACCCUCAAGCUCUGCUUGGUCUUGGGCGUCACCGGUCCCCGGUGUGCCUUAAAAUCAGUGGCGGCGCCAUCUGGCUCUAAGCGUAGUACAUACUCUCGCUACAGACGUCCGGUGGAUGCUGGCCAGCAACCCCCAAUUUAUCAAGGUUGACCUCGGAUCAGGUAGGGAUACCCGCUGAACUUAAGCAUAUCAAUAAGCGGAGGA